RNAcentral lists this long non-coding RNA (677 nucleotides) under Selaginella moellendorffii. Its description in RNAcentral is "long non-coding RNA (SMOE_LNC002119)". The record is from RNAcentral. Lineage: Eukaryota; Viridiplantae; Streptophyta; Lycopodiopsida; Selaginellales; Selaginellaceae.
GAUUCUGGAGCGCCGCGGCAUGGACGUUCUGCUGUGUCGCGAAUGCGCUGCAAUGAAUGGGUAAAAAUCGACCAACUCUCGAAAAGCUUCUAACCUGCGGAGUUGUUCUUUGUACAUGGUGUUGGAUUCCAGAGCUUCUGCGAGCUCUGUCUCGAGGCUUGCUACUCUCUCCAGUGUGCUCCCCCACUUGGAGCUCUCUUUGAAUCUAGUGAGCUUCUCUUGGAGCUGAGCGUUCACCUGGAAUGAUCGAUAGCAAAGUAAGUUUUUCUCGCCCAGAGAAUUGAUGUCCACUUGCCUGCUGCAUUCUCUGGAGCUCCUUUUGUAGUAGCUCCUGCGAGCUUGGAAAGUUGGCCUCCUGCAUGAAACUUCGAUUAGAAACUGGAGAGUUUUUUGUUUUGCCUCAACCUCAUCUUUUUGUUGUUGCUGUUGCUGUUCGUCGGUUUUCUUGAUCGAGUUGGAAUUAACUUCCUUUUGCCUUGCAGCAACCUCUCGUUUCAAGCUCUCGGAUUCAGCAGCCUUUAGCUUCAGCUCCACCUGUUCCAAUCCAGUUAUAGAGCUUGAACGACGCGAAAGGACAGACAUCCAAAGAAGAGAACAUAGAGGACGACAUUGGAAAACUGAGUAAAACUGGACCAACUAGAAACUGAGAAACUUGGACGAAAGAUCGGAAACUUGGA